Molecule: ribosomal RNA, 699 nt
Filed under: Priestia sp.
Lineage: Bacteria; Bacillati; Bacillota; Bacilli; Caryophanales; Bacillaceae
Description: bacterial SSU rRNA
Rfam family: Bacterial small subunit ribosomal RNA
Source: RNAcentral
GGCGUGCCUAAUACAUGCAAGUCGAGCGAACUGAUUAGAAGCUUGCUUCUAUGACGUUAGCGGCGGACGGGUGAGUAACACGUGGGCAACCUGCCUGUAAGACUGGGAUAACUUCGGGAAACCGAAGCUAAUACCGGAUAGGAUCUUCUCCUUCAUGGGAGAUGAUUGAAAGAUGGUUUCGGCUAUCACUUACAGAUGGGCCCGCGGUGCAUUAGCUAGUUGGUGAGGUAACGGCUCACCAAGGCAACGAUGCAUAGCCGACCUGAGAGGGUGAUCGGCCACACUGGGACUGAGACACGGCCCAGACUCCUACGGGAGGCAGCAGUAGGGAAUCUUCCGCAAUGGACGAAAGUCUGACGGAGCAACGCCGCGUGAGUGAUGAAGGCUUUCGGGUCGUAAAACUCUGUUGUUAGGGAAGAACAAGUACGAGAGUAACUGCUCGUACCUUGACGGUACCUAACCAGAAAGCCACGGCUAACUACGUGCCAGCAGCCGCGGUAAUACGUAGGUGGCAAGCGUUAUCCGGAAUUAUUGGGCGUAAAGCGCGCGCAGGCGGUUUCUUAAGUCUGAUGUGAAAGCCCACGGCUCAACCGUGGAGGGUCAUUGGAAACUGGGGAACUUGAGUGCAGAAGAGAAAAGCGGAAUUCCACGUGUAGCGGUGAAAUGCGUAGAGAUGUGGAGGAACACCAGUGGCGAAGG